RNAcentral lists this ribosomal RNA (465 nucleotides) under Vreelandella stevensii. RNAcentral describes it as "partial 16S ribosomal RNA". It matches the Rfam family "Bacterial small subunit ribosomal RNA", at positions 338 to 795 of the family's 1533-position model. Lineage: Bacteria; Pseudomonadati; Pseudomonadota; Gammaproteobacteria; Oceanospirillales; Halomonadaceae. The record is from RNAcentral.
CCUACGGGGGGCAGCAGUGGGGAAUAUUGGACAAUGGGGGCAACCCUGAUCCAGCCAUGCCGCGUGUGUGAAGAAGGCCCUCGGGUUGUAAAGCACUUCCAGUGAGGAAGAACGCCUGGUGGUUAAUACCCAUCAGGAAAGACAUCACUCACAGAAGAAGCACCGGCUAACUCCGUGCCAGCAGCCGCGGUAAUACGGAGGGUGCGAGCGUUAAUCGGAAUUACUGGGCGUAAAGCGCGCGUAGGUGGCUUGAUAAGCCGGUUGUGAAAGCCCCGGGCUCAACCUGGGAACGGCAUCCGGAACUGUCAAGCUAGAGUGCAGGAGAGGAAGGUAGAAUUCCCGGUGUAGCGGUGAAAUGCGUAGAGAUCGGGAGGAAUACCAGUGGCGAAGGCGGCCUUCUGGACUGACACUGACACUGAGGUGCGAAAGCGUGGGUAGCAAACAGGAUUAGAUACCCCGGUAGUC